CCUACGGGAGGCAGCAGUGGGGAAUAUUGCACAAUGGGGGAAACCCUGAUGCAGCGACGCCGCGUGAGUGAAGAAGGAUUUCGGUAUGUAAAGCUCUAUCAGCAGGGAAGAAGAAAGACGGUACCUGACUAAGAAGCCCCGGCGAACUACGUGCCAGCAGCCGCGGUAAUACGUAGGGUGCAAGCGUUAUCCGGAUUUACUGGGUGGAAAGGGAGCGUAGGCGGCUGUGCAAGUCUGAAGUGAAAGCCCAGGGCUCAACCCUGGGACUGCAUUUGAAACUGUGGGGCUAGAGUGCUGGAGAGGUAAGUGGAAUUCCUGGUGUAGCGGUGAAAUGCGUAGAGAUUAGGAGGAACACCAGUGGCGAAGGCGGCUUACUGGACAGUAACUGACGUUGAGGCUCGAAAGCGUGGGGAGCAAACAGGAUUAGAUACCCGAGUAGUC
This 441-nucleotide ribosomal RNA is filed under the name uncultured bacterium. RNAcentral's name for it is "partial 16S ribosomal RNA". It matches the Rfam family "Bacterial small subunit ribosomal RNA", at positions 338 to 795 of the family's 1533-position model. The record is from RNAcentral.